CAAGAAGCAAACCACAGUUUCAAGGUCUUCCUCGCUGAAGCUGAAUAUAGAGUACUUGGACAUCUGGUAUGUGAAAUUCAGUGGUUAUCAGGUUUGUUGACUGAAAUUGGAGUCUAAGUUCCCACUCCUAUACCAAUUCAUUGUGAUAAUAAAUCAGAAAUACACAUAGCUGAGAAUCUAGUCUUUCACGAAAGGUCAAAACACAUUAAGAUUGAUUGUCAUGUGAUGAGGAACGCAUCAAGACAAGUAUGAUCAAGCUUCAUCAUGUUCACACUGAAUAUAUAUUCGCAUUAUGGCAGGGUAUUAAUUCAGAAGAAGAAAUCUGGAAAUGGAGAUUGCUCAGCAUCUGUUGAGAAUGAAGAGGAGCUGAGUGACCAAAGAGCAAUUGGAUGAAAGAUGAAGAAUCAAAGGAUACAAAGAGUGAAAAUGUUUUAUUAUUAUUGUGUCAUUUCAGUUAUGUAAUAAUUAGUUACCGUUUACAGAUAAAACGGUAACACCGUAAAAUUUGAACUCCACCAUUUAAAUAAAGAGCUGAAGGGCUGGCUGCCUCUUCACGCAUUGUUUUGUGAUCAUUCUCUCAAAUAUGAAAUUGGGAGCGGGCUUUCAUAUACAUGACAACGAAUAAUUUAGGCUGCGAGAUGUUCUAUUCGAAAUGGAUGAACGGCUUCUGCUAUACAAAACUCUGGUUGAGAAUGAUUCGGCGGUUGCCGCCCUCCUCAACGGUCGUCGGCAAAACAAUAGUAAUAAAUUUGAAAUAUUAUAUUAUUUUCUUUUUUAAUUAUGACGUCAAAAACAACAAUCGACCAAAACCAACCAAUAAAUUAAAGUUCCUAUCAAUAUUAGAAAGAAAUAAGAAAUACUAAUUAUAUUGUAUGAUUUGUUUGUUUGGUGCCUCUUAUUUAAUUGGGCAAACCAAAGCUUGGGAUUUUGUUCUUAUUUUGAUCUCGCGUAUCUGUAAACCAAUAUCAUAUUUGGAGUUUCCAGGUUGGAUUCCAAUACCUACUUUGGACCUUGGAGAUAACUUGAGAGGGUGCUCAAGCUCAACAUAUUGCUAUUUGCUAGUAUAUAUGGAUUUUGACCACGUUACGAAUUAAGAAGAUGGACUUUUCAAUUUGAAACUUUUAAUUAGUAACAAUGUCAUAAUUAAUUAUGAUAUAAAAAAUAUGAUAGUAUUAAAAUUUAAAAAUAAUAUAUUAAGUAAUUUAUAGUAAGUAUUAAAUUUUUAGUAAUUAAGUAGGAUAAAAAGUUGAGACGUACUUGGUGUUAAAUGAGUUGCAAGAGUUAUAAUAAGAUCAUAAAGCAAUACCUAAAAUAAAAAAAAAGAAUAUAUCAGUAAAAUACGAAAGAAAAGAAAAUAGAAUAACAAUAUAAGAAAUAGCUAGAGGGCUCCUCCUCCUGCGUCGUCUAUAAAAGCUAAAACCGACUCCCUGAAUUGAUCUGAAAACCUUUGCCAUUUCUCAAGGGGACCAUCCAUCCCAAUAUCUCCAUGCUUCUUCCUUCUCUACUCUAUUUUCCCUUCCUCCUUUCAUUUCUCUUCCAAACAUUAUAUUAAUUUUCAUCUCUGAUAAUUUUCCCCCCUUAAACAUGAGGAACCAACAAGCAAACAUGAACAACAAUGUCAUGAUGGCUACUCCUCGCACAAGUUUCUCCAUGAACAACCACCAGGAUCUCAUCAACCUCAUCCAUGCUAACAAUAAUCUCAUCGGAUUCACUCCUCCACCGCCUCCCUUCUACUCAUCAUACCCUCCGCCAGCUGCGGCACCGCCUCUCCUUCCUUUCCCCGUCCCUAGNNNNNNNN
This 1798-nucleotide long non-coding RNA is filed under the name Linum usitatissimum (flax). RNAcentral describes it as "long non-coding RNA (LUSI_LNC007224)". Lineage: Eukaryota; Viridiplantae; Streptophyta; Magnoliopsida; Malpighiales; Linaceae. The record is from RNAcentral.